GCCCGGGUGGUGGAAUGGUAGACACAGGGGACUUAAAAUCCCCCGGUCAUUGUGACCGUGCCGGUUCAAGUCCGGCUCCGGGUACCA
Molecule: transfer RNA, 87 nt
Filed under: Sulfurovum lithotrophicum
Lineage: Bacteria; Pseudomonadati; Campylobacterota; Epsilonproteobacteria; Campylobacterales; Sulfurovaceae
Also listed under: 13 other names
Description: tRNA-Leu
Rfam family: tRNA
About the family: Transfer RNA (tRNA) molecules are approximately 80 nucleotides in length. Their secondary structure includes four short double-helical elements and three loops (D, anti-codon, and T loops).
Source: RNAcentral